This 354-nucleotide ribosomal RNA is filed under the name uncultured bacterium. Its description in RNAcentral is "partial 16S ribosomal RNA". It matches the Rfam family "Bacterial small subunit ribosomal RNA", at positions 338 to 690 of the family's 1533-position model. The record is from RNAcentral.
CCUACGGGUGGCUGCAGUGAGGAAUAUUGGUCAAUGGCCGGAAGGCUGAACCAGCCAAGCCGCGUGAAGGACGAAGGUGCCAAGCAUUGUAAACUUCUUUUGUCAAGGGACAAAAUCAGGCUCGAGAGCCUGACCGAGGGUACUUGAAGAAAAAGCAUCGGCUAACUCCGUGCCAGCAGCCGCGGUAAUACGGAGGAUGCGAGCGUUAUCCGGAUUUAUUGGGUUUAAAGGGUGCGUAGGCGGACUGUUAAGUCAGCGGUAAAAGCCCGGGGCUCAACCCCGGCGAGCCAUUGAAACGGGCUGUAGUGAGAUGGGGGGAGGUAUGGGGAAGGCGCAGUGAAGCGGGAAAAGGUU